Molecule: transfer RNA, 74 nt
Filed under: Syntrophaceae bacterium
Lineage: Bacteria; Pseudomonadati; Thermodesulfobacteriota; Syntrophia; Syntrophales; Syntrophaceae
Description: tRNA-Arg
Rfam family: tRNA
About the family: Transfer RNA (tRNA) molecules are approximately 80 nucleotides in length.
Source: RNAcentral
GCGCCCUUAGCUCAGUUGGAUAGAGCAACGGAUUUCUAAUCCGUAGGUCGCAGGUUCGAAUCCUGCAGGGCGUA